Molecule: non-coding RNA, 122 nt
Organism: Triticum aestivum (bread wheat)
Lineage: Eukaryota; Viridiplantae; Streptophyta; Magnoliopsida; Poales; Poaceae
Source: Rfam
AAAAUACUCCCUCCGUCCCAAAAUUCUUGUCUUAAAUUUGUCUAGAUACGGAUGUAUCUGACUUGAUACAUCCGUAUCUAGACAAAUCUAAGACAAAAAUUUUGGGACGGAGUGAGUACUUA